UGGGGAAUAUUGCACAAUGGGCGCAAGCCUGAUGCAGCCAUGCCGCGUGUAUGAAGAAGGCCUUCGGGUUGUAAAGUACUUUCAGCGGGGAGGAAGGGAGUAAAGUUAAUACCUUUGCUCAUUGACGUGACCCGCAGAAGAAGCACCGGCUAACUCCGUGCCAGCAGCCGCGGUAAUACGGAGGGUGCAAGCGUUAAUCGGAAUUACUGGGCGUAAAGCGCACGCAGGCGGGUUGUUAAGUCAGAUGUGAAAUCCCCGGGCUCAACCUGGGAACUGCAUCUGAUACUGGCAAGCUUGAGUCUCGUAGAGGGGGGUAGAAUUCCAGGUGUAGCGGUGAAAUGCGUGGAGAUCUGGAGGAAUACCGGUGGCGAAGGCGGCCCCCUGGACGAAGACUGACGCUCAGGUGCGAAAGCGUGGGGAGCAAACAGG
This 429-nucleotide ribosomal RNA is filed under the name Chloroflexota bacterium. Its description in RNAcentral is "Chloroflexi bacterium partial 16S ribosomal RNA". It matches the Rfam family "Bacterial small subunit ribosomal RNA", at positions 355 to 776 of the family's 1533-position model. Lineage: Bacteria; Bacillati; Chloroflexota. The record is from RNAcentral.